AUAUCGCGAGGUGUCAGCCGCCGCGGUAAUACGUAGGGAGCAAGCGUUGUCCGGAAUUACUGGGUGUAAAGGGAGCGUAGGCGGGGAGACAAGUUGAAUUGUUUAAACUAUCGGCUCAACUGAUACGUCGCGUUCAAAACUAUACACUCUUGAGUGCAGGUAGAGGUAGGCGGUAAUUCCUAGUGUAGCGGUGAAAUGCGUAGAUAAUUAGGAGGAACACCAAGUGGCGAAGGCGGCCUACGUGGGCUGUAACUGACGCUGAGGCU
RNAcentral lists this ribosomal RNA (266 nucleotides) under uncultured bacterium. Its description in RNAcentral is "partial 16S ribosomal RNA". It matches the Rfam family "Bacterial small subunit ribosomal RNA", at positions 495 to 753 of the family's 1533-position model. The record is from RNAcentral.